Molecule: long non-coding RNA, 1438 nt
Organism: Passer domesticus (house sparrow)
Lineage: Eukaryota; Metazoa; Chordata; Aves; Passeriformes; Passeridae
Exons: 3
Source: RefSeq, a predicted model, not a curated record
AGUGGAAAGGGUGUUUGUGUCUUGGUUCAAAAGACAGGUGUCUGCCAAGGAAGGUGGGAACCUCCCUUGGAAAGGAGAAUAUGACCCCCUUCCCUCCGAAUUAUUAGCACUUUGAAAUUACAGGGCUUUCAGGCAGAGACAUGAGAAAAGGAGCAGCAGUUCCUUACUAGCAUGUGUGUGUAAGAAGGCAAACAAGCAGCAGCCCGGCAGCACCGAGGGCAGACGCAGAGCCCAGGGCGGCCUUCUCCCGGCCCAGCCCCUUCCCUGCGCUGCAGUUCCGCGCGCAGCCAGCAGGGGCGCUGCUGGCUCCCGGCCGGGCGGGGCGGGGCCAUGAUUCCCCCGCGGCUGCAGGGGGCGCUGUGGCGCAGCUCGGCCGCCCCUCUGCGCACGGCAAUGGCGGCGCGCUGGGGCAGCGAUGGAGAAGGGGCUUCCUCUGGAGCCUCAGGGACAGCCGGUCCCGCUGCACCUCCGGGUGCUGAAACGCACUGCAGCAGGAACCUUGGAAGCAGCUGGAACGGCAGAGGCGGGCACACCCAGGGUGACAAAUAAAAUGAUUUUCUCCUGAGAAGCCUCAGAAAAGAAAUGUAAACAAUCACCUAUCGGAUUGCUUUGUAAUGUGGUCUGGAGAUGGUUUACCAACAGAUGCAUCUUUGAUUAUCUCAUGACUGCUCGUGGAACAAAAUGGAAGAUCCCCAUUCACAGCAACCACAUGGAUCCUGAUAUGAGAAACUACGCUUACUUUUAAAAUUUCAAAGGUUUAUUAAACCUUAACAAAAAUACAGAAUACAGAAUGUUAGAAAUGAAUAAUGUGAUGGUUGGCUCUCACAAUUAAGAGAUGGAUAUUAUGUGUAUGUUAAGAAAAGUUUUGUAAAUGUAUAGUGAAGUUACUGUUAUAUGUCCUCCCAUAGUCUUCUUUCCUGUCCCCCUUGUAAUGGCCUUGGUAGUGAGGGCAUUUGGGAGGGCUGGCUUCUUACCAGGAGGUGCAACAUGACAACAUGACCUGGCCUCCAAUCAAGAUGUAAGAAAGUAAUCUGCUUUAAUUGAUGGCAGAGAAAGAGUUAAUUGACAAAAUAUUUGGAGGCACUAAGAGUAUAAAAGACAGAGCAUCCAUUUUGAAAACAAGCACGUGGCUGCUAGUUACGGAGACUCCCAGCACUGUAAUUUUUCCUUAUUCAGUCCUUUGUUGUAUUUUUUGUUAAGGUUUAAUAAACCUUUGACAUUUUAGAAGUGAGUGCCAUUUCUCACAUGAAUAAGGAAAAAUUACAGCGCUGGGAGCAUGAAACUAAACUGCCAUGUGCUUGUCCUUAUCUCUGGAGCUAGGGUCAUAAUUCCACGAGGCUAGUUUCUUUCUCAGUGGGCAAUGUGUGGGUACAUCUAUUGGUAUCUCUUCACUUCUUCCUUCACCCAUUGGGGAUUCUCUACUGGCUCCCAAUCCCAU